RNAcentral lists this ribosomal RNA (492 nucleotides) under uncultured bacterium. RNAcentral's name for it is "partial 16S ribosomal RNA". It matches the Rfam family "Bacterial small subunit ribosomal RNA", at positions 29 to 507 of the family's 1533-position model. The record is from RNAcentral.
AGUGAACGCUGGCGGUAGGCCUAACACAUGCAAGUCGAACGGCAGCACAGUAAGAGCUUGCUCUUACGGGUGGCGAGUGGCGGACGGGUGAGGAAUACAUCGGAAUCUACUUUUUCGUGGGGGAUAACGUAGGGAAACUUACGCUAAUACCGCAUACGACCUACGGGUGAAAGCAGGGGAUCUUCGGACCUUGCGCGAUUGAAUGAGCCGAUGUCGGAUUAGCUAGUUGGCGGGGUAAAGGCCCACCAAGGCGACGAUCCGUAGCUGGUCUGAGAGGAUGAUCAGCCACACUGGAACUGAGACACGGUCCAGACUCCUACGGGAGGCAGCAGUGGGGAAUAUUGGACAAUGGGCGCAAGCCUGAUCCAGCCAGACCGCGUGGGUGAAGAAGGCCUUCGGGUUGUAAAGACCUUUUGUUGGGAAAGAAAAGCAGCAGGUUAAUACCCCGCUGUUCUGACGGUACCCAAAGAAUAAGCACCGGCUAACUUCGUG